RNAcentral lists this long non-coding RNA (293 nucleotides) under Panax ginseng (ginseng). Its description in RNAcentral is "long non-coding RNA (PGIN_LNC015684)". Lineage: Eukaryota; Viridiplantae; Streptophyta; Magnoliopsida; Apiales; Araliaceae. The record is from RNAcentral.
UUAGAUAUGUGUUGAUGAUUGAGUAUGUAUUAAUUUUUGCAUGUGUGUAUUUUUUGUGUUUCGUAUUUUGUAAAGUUAACUAAUUAUACAUGAUUAUGAUGAUUUUGGGUAUGGAAUGAUGGUUGUUUUGGUAGUUUAAAUAUGUAGUGAUGCUGUUGAAAACCUGUUCAAAAUGCUCGAGAGAAACAUCAAAAUUACAGAUCCAAAUGUUAAAUGUAUGUGGGACUUUGGAUGGAAUGAGGUGAUGUUUAUAUAUGUUGAAACAGAUGACAUUAUAAAGGAUGUGGACCGGA